Molecule: ribosomal RNA, 494 nt
Filed under: uncultured bacterium
Lineage: Bacteria
Description: partial 16S ribosomal RNA
Rfam family: Bacterial small subunit ribosomal RNA
Source: RNAcentral
GAUGAACGCUGGCGGCGUGCUUAACACAUGCAAGUCGAACGGGAAUUAUUUUAUUGAAACUUCGGUCGAUUUAAUUUAAUUCUAGUGGCGGACGGGUGAGUAACGCGUGGGUAACCUGCCUUAUACAGGGGGAUAACAGUCAGAAAUGACUGCUAAUACCGCAUAAGCGCACAGGACCGCAUGGUCCGGUGUGAAAAACUCCGGUGGUAUAAGAUGGACCCGCGUUGGAUUAGCUGGUUGGUGGGGUAACGGCCCACCAAGGCGACGAUCCAUAGCCGGCCUGAGAGGGUGAACGGCCACAUUGGGACUGAGACACGGCCCAGACUCCUACGGGAGGCAGCAGUGGGGAAUAUUGCACAAUGGGGGAAACCCUGAUGCAGCGACGCCGCGUGAAGGAAGAAGUAUCUCGGUAUGUAAACUUCUAUCAGCAGGGAAGAUAGUGACGGUACCUGACUAAGAAGCCCCGGCUAACUACGUGCCAGCAGCCGCAGUAA